GUCGUGUAAUGUUUUGAGUGUUUCCAGUUUUGUCUCGAGAGUGUUCUCAGUUUUCUGGUUUCCCUCGGCCUUUUUUGUAGGCCUAGGCCUCGCUACUGAUUAACAGUUAAGCUGAAUAUCAUCAUCAUUAUUAUGAUAAUUAUGUUUGGCUUGGGAACAGACAAAGAUAGAUUGACAAGUUUUUCUGUGGUCUAUCUACAUGAUCAUCAUGAUCUAUCGAAUGUUUGUUGUUGACCGUUGUUGUUCCCCAUCAUCAUGCCCAUAUAUUUCAGUGUUUCCACACAAUACAGUUGUCUAUUGUGUGGAAACACUGAAAUAUUGGGAACAACAACAAACAUUCGACAGGUUGAGAUGUUCAGCGCAGGAAUAGUAUGUGUGUGUACUUUAUUUGUGGCUUGGACAUGUUGGACCGCUUUUUCACCCCGUCAGGCCCGUGAAAUCAACAUUUUAUAAGGUCGUAAAAAUCAGAAUGGUAGUCAUUGUCUUUUAGUGACAUCAUUCAUGGCAUCAAAAGAUUGAAAUCAUGUCUAAAAUCCAAAUGACAAUUGACAUUUGGUUGCCAAAAUCCUUUUCGCCGUAACUGUCAGACUCUGACUUUUAGUCAUUUGUCAUUUGUGGAAGUCACUACAAUGUAUGUUGUAACACAACACAGGAUCAAUGAUAUUACAAGAACUCAAAGUCAAAAGAUAAUUUCAUUCAAUUCAUUUCUAGGGCUUUAAGAACUAUUUGCGGUCCACCUCAGAUGGAAGAGGAUUAUACAACAAAUUGCAUGACCUUGGAUUCGCCCCUCGUGGCAUGAGAGCCAAACUGGUCAGAUUUGCUGUGGGUUACCUUUUCGAGAAAAGUGGAAGAUAUCCAAAAAGUGAUGAGAAAAACCUUCUUGCAAUGGAAAUGAUAGAAGUAUUUCCAUUCUUGAAAAGUCCAAGAGGAAGUGGAUGCCAAGCCUUCUAUCAGCGGGCAAGAGAUACGAAACCAGCCAAAGGUUUUAUUCACGACAGAAUAAACAAUAUCCGUAAGCAGGAGGCAAAGACCAAGGGAAAGAAAACAA
Long non-coding RNA from Lineus longissimus, 1048 nucleotides. RefSeq lists it as uncharacterized. The record is from RefSeq and is a predicted model, not a curated record. The transcript is spliced from 3 exons. NCBI's taxonomy places the organism in Eukaryota, Metazoa, Nemertea, Pilidiophora, Heteronemertea, Lineidae.